Molecule: long non-coding RNA, 1089 nt
Organism: Manis pentadactyla (Chinese pangolin)
Lineage: Eukaryota; Metazoa; Chordata; Mammalia; Pholidota; Manidae
Exons: 2
Source: RefSeq, a predicted model, not a curated record
GUGGAGGUACAAGGACUUCCCAUAGCCUCACAGGCAACAAAUGGUAGAGCCAGUCUGAGCCAGCGGCAUGCUCCUGACCGCCGCAGUGACCCUUCCAGGAACGGCCUUCCAAGGCAGCCACGUUCUGGUCCCCAGAAUCUGUGGAUAUGUCACCUCAUGUAGCAAAAGGAACUGUGCAGAUGGGAUUAGGAAUCUUGAGGUGGGGAGAGGAUCCUGGAUCUCCUCAGUGGGUCCAGUGUCAUCACAAGGGUCCUGAGAGGAAGAGGGAGAUCAGAGUCAGAGACCGGAGGAGGCCGGGCUGCAGGUGCACUGAAGACGGAGGCGGGGCCCCCGACACUGGAGAAGAAGGGCAGUGGGCCCUCCGCUAGCGCCUCCAGCAAGAGCCGGCCCUGCCGACCCCUUGGCUUUAGCCCCUCAGGACCCCUGUCGGACUGUGGCCUCCACAAUCGUGAGAAUAAGUCAGGGUUGUUUUCAGCCACUCAGUUGUGGUCAUUCGUGACAACAGCCACCAGACACUCAUACAAUCACUGUGUUCUUGACCUUCGCGUGCCUCUCUCAUCUCACUUAAAGACAGUUCACCAAUUCCUGCCCUGCUUCUCCGCAGGCUAGGUACCCCCGUCUUCGUGGACACACAGUUGGCACCACCGUGCUGGCAGUGGGGAAGCCCCCUCCUCCACGGCUGUAAUCAGGAGGGAGGGGAGGAGGUUCCCAGGCUGUGCCUGUCUGUGGGGCUUGAGGCCUUCUCUAACUGGGCCCCUGCCCUCUGUGCUGUCUUCCCAUCAGGUUGGCACCCCCUGGCCUGAGCACUCCCUUCAAACGCACCCCCAGACUACAGGGGAGAACAGAUAGUGGCGGGUGUUGAAACUCUCUGCAGACAGAAACAGCAGGUUGCAGCCGACUGGUGACAGAGGCGGACUUGAGAAUCCAGCCACCUUCGAUUAAACCAGACAUUAAAGAGAUUUGCAAAAAAUGUUUUUAAAAUUUCUUGGGGGAGGCUUUGGAGAUUAUAAUCAUUUUCAUAAAGGUGCUAUAUAUGUUAACGUACAAAGGGCUUAUCAUUAUUUUUGUAUGAAUAAAUGUUUAAAGCUU